CAUGGAUGGAAUUUUUGGAAAGUUUAGUAGUAAGGGCAUUUUGGUCAUUUGGAUAUUAAAUGAAAUAAAAAUGGGAAAAAUAACACAAAAAUGGUCAUCUUCUCAAUUAGUUGCUGCCGAAUUUUGCUCUCCUCCAUAGCUGGGGUUUCUUCAAUUUCCAAGCUCCAUAAUCAAGAAGAACAAAAUCUGGAGUUAGACCAAGGAAAGAAGAAGAUAGUGGACUAAAUCGAUAUAGUUGAUCGUAUUCUGUUUUGAGUUUUGUCAAGCUAACUCGGGGAUCGUAAAGUACGUCGGAGGUCCAGGCACACUAUCACAAGGGUUAUUUUGGUAUAGCUAGACGUUUCAUUUUGAGUAUGGCAUGUAUAGUAUCGUAGCCAUUUUGUGUGUAUGAUCUUAUGAUAUGGAUGAUGAAUGGUAUGUAAAUGUUUGAUAAUGAUUAGCUGUUGGAAUGGCUAAUCAAGGACAUGUUUGGUGUUAUGUAUGUGUAAAUGCUAGUUAUUCCAUGGAAAUCAUGAAAAAG
Molecule: long non-coding RNA, 520 nt
Organism: Gossypium arboreum
Lineage: Eukaryota; Viridiplantae; Streptophyta; Magnoliopsida; Malvales; Malvaceae
Exons: 3
Source: RefSeq, a predicted model, not a curated record